AUACGUAGGUGGCGAGCGUUGUCCGGAUUUACUGGGUGUAAAGGGCGCGUAGGCGGGAUAGCAAGUCAGGUGUGAAAUCUAUGGGCUCAACCCAUAAACUGCACUUGAAACUGUUGUUCUUGAGUGUCGGAGAGGUAGAUGGAAUUCCUAGUGUAGCGGUGAAAUGCUUAGAUAUUAGGAGGAACACCAGUGGCGAAGGCGAUCUACUGGACGAUAACUGACGCUGAGGCGCGAAAGCGUGGGGAGCAAACAGGAUUAGAUCCCCUGGUAGUCCACGCCGUAAACGAUGAAUACUAGGUGUGGGUGGGACUGACCCCAUCCGUGCCGCAGCUAACGCAAUAAGUAUUCCACCUGGGGAGUACGGCCGCAAGGCUGAAACUUAAAGGAAUUGACGGGG
RNAcentral lists this ribosomal RNA (397 nucleotides) under uncultured bacterium. Its description in RNAcentral is "partial 16S ribosomal RNA". It matches the Rfam family "Bacterial small subunit ribosomal RNA", at positions 523 to 918 of the family's 1533-position model. The record is from RNAcentral.